This 883-nucleotide ribosomal RNA is filed under the name Gigaspora margarita. RNAcentral describes it as "eukaryotic LSU rRNA". It matches the Rfam family "Eukaryotic large subunit ribosomal RNA", at positions 1 to 801 of the family's 3401-position model. The record is from RNAcentral. Lineage: Eukaryota; Fungi; Glomeromycota; Glomeromycetes; Diversisporales; Gigasporaceae.
ACCUCAAGUCAUGUGAGAGUACCCGCUGAACUUAAGCAUAUCAAUAAGCGGAGGAAAAGAAACUAACAAGGAUUCCCCUAGUAACGGCGAGUGAAGCGGGAAGAGCACAAAUUUAAAAUCUACCUGGUUUUCAGGUCGAGUUGUAAUUUGAGGAUACGUUUUUGACGUUCUGGGUUGGACUAAAUCCUUUGGGAUAAGGUAUCAUAGAGGGUGAGAAUCCCGUAUAUACCAACCGUAGGGAUGUUAUUAAAUACGUUUCUAAGAGUCGAGUUGUUUGGGAAUGCAGCUCUAAAUGGGUGGUAAAUUUCACCUAAUGCUAAAUAUAAGCGAGAGACCGAUAGCGAACAAGUACAGUGAUGGAAAGAUGAAAAGAACUUUGAAAAGAGAGUUAAAUAGUACGUGAAAUUGUUGAAAGGGAAACGAUUGAAGUCAGUCAUGCCGGUGGGAAUCAACUUAGGGGAAACUCUGGGUGCACUUCUUCGCUUGGCAGGUCAACGUCGAUUUUGAAUGUCAUAAAAUAAUUGGGGGAAGGUAGCUCCUUCGGGAGUGUUAUAGCCCUUGAUAGAUGUGAUGUUUGAGGUCGAGGAUUGCAACGGAUACCCUUCGGGGCUAGCUGCCUGAUCUCUAAUUGGUGUUGGGUUACGGAUAGCAUGCUGACCGUGAUCUAAUUACUGGUUAAAAGGUUAGAGUGUGCAUAAAUUCGUUAAGGACGUUGACGUAAUGGCUUUAAACGACCCGUCUUGAAACACGGACCAAGGAGUCUAACAUGUAUGCGAGUGUUAGGGUAUUAAACCCAGACGCGAAAUGAAAGUGAGUGUAGGUGGGAUCCUUUWUUGGAGCACCAUCGACCGAUCUUGAGAUUUAUCGANNNNNNNNNNNNAGC